UUGUCCACAAUAAUCCCUACCCCAUUUCUUGAUCUGAUUUUUCCGGUAUACCACAGCUUAAAUCCCGAGUUGUCUAAUUCUUUCGCUUUUUCACCUGUCCACUUAGUUUCUUGUAGGCACAUAAAAUUGAUCUUCCUCCUCACCAUAACAUCCACUAUUUCCAUAGAUUUUCCAGUAAGUGUGCCUAUAUUCCAUGUACCAAAGCGAAUCCUCCUGUCAUGAACUAGCUUCUUUACCCACACCCGUUCACGAAAAUGUGGGAACCCUUGCUUACUUUUCACUACAUCCGGGCGGCGAUGCAGCGGCCCUUGCUCUUUUGACACUGUACUCGAG
Molecule: long non-coding RNA, 333 nt
Filed under: Glycine max (soybean)
Lineage: Eukaryota; Viridiplantae; Streptophyta; Magnoliopsida; Fabales; Fabaceae
Description: long non-coding RNA (GMAX_LNC004466)
Source: RNAcentral